CGCGAAGAACCUUACCAGGUCUUGACAUCCCGCUGCCCGCCUAGGAGACUAGGCUUUCCCUUCGGGGACAGCGGUGACAGGUGGUGCAUGGUUGUCGUCAGCUCGUGUCGUGAGAUGUUGGGUUAAGUCCCGCAACGAGCGCAACCCUUGAUCUUAGUUGCCAGCAUUCAGUUGGGCACUCUAAGGUGACUGCCGGUGACAAACCGGAGGAAGGUGGGGAUGACGUCAAAUCAUCAUGCCCCUUAUGACCUGGGCUACACACGUGCUACAAUGGACGGUACAAAGGGCUGCAAACCCGCGAGGGGGAGCCAAUCCCAGAAAACCGUUCUCAGUUCGGAUUGCAGACUGCAAUCG
RNAcentral lists this ribosomal RNA (354 nucleotides) under Firmicutes bacterium FA1a. Its description in RNAcentral is "bacterial SSU rRNA". It matches the Rfam family "Bacterial small subunit ribosomal RNA", at positions 960 to 1313 of the family's 1533-position model. Lineage: Bacteria; Bacillati; Bacillota. The record is from RNAcentral.